Stegodyphus mimosarum is the source of this 73-nucleotide non-coding RNA. The record is from Rfam. Lineage: Eukaryota; Metazoa; Arthropoda; Arachnida; Araneae; Eresidae.
GCCUUCGUGGUGUAGUGGUCAGCACGCUCAACGCGUAUUCGAGAAGUCCUUGGUUCGAAUCUGGGCAAGGGCA